GCCAGACUCCUACGGGAGGCAGCAGUGGGGGAUAUUGCACAAUGGGGGAAACCCUGAUGCAGCGACGCCGCGUGUAGGAAGACGGUCCUCUGGAUUGUAAACUACUGUCCCCAGGGACGAAGAUGACGGUACCUGGGGAGGAAGCUCCGGCUAACUACGUGCCAGCAGCCGCGGUAAUACGUAGGAUCCGAGCAUUAUCCGGAGUGACUGGGUGUAAAGAGUUGCGUAGGUGGCAUAAUAAGUAGCUAGUGAAAUCUGGUGGCUCAACCAUUCAGACUAUUAGCUAAACUGUUAAGCUCGAGACCGUUAGGGGUAACUGGAAUUUCUAGUGUGGGAGUGAAAUCCGUAGAUAUUAGAAGGAACACCAAUAGCGUAGGCAGGUUACUGGGACGGUUCUGACACUAAGGCACGAAAGCGUAGGGAGCAAACGGGAUUAGAUACCCCCGUAAA
RNAcentral lists this ribosomal RNA (450 nucleotides) under uncultured bacterium. Its description in RNAcentral is "bacterial SSU rRNA". It matches the Rfam family "Bacterial small subunit ribosomal RNA", at positions 330 to 794 of the family's 1533-position model. The record is from RNAcentral.